CAUGAGUAAACAUGGAAACAUACCCUCCUCCAUUCAACCCCAACUGACAGUUUGACUGCAACCUCAUGAGAGGCCCUGGAGCCAGAACCACCCUAAGAAGCUACCAUGAUCCACAGAAAUUAUGAGAUUCACCCUGAAUUCUUUCUUGUGCAAGAUCCAAGAACCCAGUCUUGGGGUUUGUAUCUGGACCCCUUUCCGGUAACAAUAGUGCAUAAAGAUCUAUUCUGAG
This 229-nucleotide long non-coding RNA is filed under the name Homo sapiens (human). The record is from RNAcentral. Lineage: Eukaryota; Metazoa; Chordata; Mammalia; Primates; Hominidae.